This 303-nucleotide ribosomal RNA is filed under the name uncultured bacterium. RNAcentral's name for it is "partial 16S ribosomal RNA". It matches the Rfam family "Bacterial small subunit ribosomal RNA", at positions 507 to 807 of the family's 1533-position model. The record is from RNAcentral.
AGCAGCCGCCGCGGGAAUACGUAGGUGGCAAGCGUUGUCCGGAAUUAUUGGGCGUAAAGGGCUCGCAGGCGGUUUCUUAAGUCUGAUGUGAAAGCCCCCGGCUCAACCGGGGAGGGUCAUUGGAAACUGGGAAACUUGAGUGCAGAAGAGGAGAGUGGAAUUCCACGUGUAGCGGUGAAAUGCGUAGAGAUGUGGAGGAACACCAGUGGCGAAGACGACUCUCUGGUCUGUAACUGACGCUGAGGAGCGAAAGCGUGGGGAGCGAACAGGAUUAGAUACCCCUGUAGUCCCUGUCUCUUAUAC